This is a transfer RNA of Botryobasidium botryosum FD-172 SS1, 79 nucleotides long. It matches the Rfam family "tRNA". From Rfam's summary of the family: Transfer RNA (tRNA) molecules are approximately 80 nucleotides in length. Their secondary structure includes four short double-helical elements and three loops (D, anti-codon, and T loops). The record is from Rfam. Lineage: Eukaryota; Fungi; Basidiomycota; Agaricomycetes; Cantharellales; Botryobasidiaceae.
UCCGAUAUGGUGUAGUGGCUAACAUUAUCGCCUCUCAUGCGGAACGCGAUAGCCCGGGGUUCGAUUCCCCGUGUCGGAA